UAGGGGGAUUAGUGGCGAACGGGUGAGUAAUAUAUCGGAACGUGCCUUGUAAUGGGGGAUAACUAGUCGAAAGAUUAGCUAAUACCGCAUACGCCCUGAGGGGGAAAGUAGGGGAUCUUCGGACCUUACGUUAUAAGAGCGGCCGAUAUCUGAUUAGCUAGUUGGUGGGGUAAUGGCCUACCAAGGCUUCGAUCAGUAGCUGGUCUGAGAGGACGACCAGCCACACUGGAACUGAGACACGGUCCAG
This 247-nucleotide ribosomal RNA is filed under the name uncultured bacterium. RNAcentral describes it as "partial 16S ribosomal RNA". It matches the Rfam family "Bacterial small subunit ribosomal RNA", at positions 84 to 334 of the family's 1533-position model. The record is from RNAcentral.